This is a long non-coding RNA of Podarcis raffonei (Aeolian wall lizard), 3181 nucleotides long. RefSeq lists it as uncharacterized. NCBI's taxonomy places the organism in Eukaryota, Metazoa, Chordata, Lepidosauria, Squamata, Lacertidae. The transcript is spliced from 2 exons. The record is from RefSeq and is a predicted model, not a curated record.
CAUGUUUGCAAAGCAUUUUGAGGAUAAUUGAAAUUGAAAUACUUUAUUGUCACUUGUACAACUUGUAUACUGUACAGUGAGAUUACACAAGCACCCCCCACUCAGCUCUCUUAGUCUUAAUUCCCCUCGUUUACUGACGCACACCCACCAAACCCGAAAGUCAGUUGCCCUGUUGUUCUCUUUUCAUUCAGCAGCCUAACAGCCCACGGAUAGAAACUGUUCUUCACCCUGUGCUUCUAUAUCUUCUGCCCGAGGGCAGGAGAUCAAGUAAGUGCCAACCAGGGUGUGAAUCAUCCCUGAGAAUUUUCCUCACUCUCCUGAGGCAACAUUCUUCCGUCAUGUCAUCCAGUGGACUUGCGGGACAGCCCAUAUCUUGUGCUGUAUUCACCACCCUCUGUAGGCACUUCCUAUCAGAUGAUGUCAAACCAGCGUCCCACACUGUGAUGCAGUAGGAAAGGACACUUUCUAUUGUGGACCAGUAGUAGAUCAUCAAAUGUUGAUUUGACAUCGUUCUUUUGCAAUACUAUGAGGAGAUGGAGUCUUAAUCACCUGGGUUGUACUGAUUUUCCAAGUAAUAUCGCUUGCAUCCACCAACACCUUGACUCUGCUGUUAUAGCAGAUGAAUCUCAUGGGGUGUCCAGAGCACAGUCUAGUUCUGUUGUGUUGGAUGAGUUUCCGUUGCUAAGGCUUGAGGAUGUGGACAAGGUGCUUGGAUCAGUCAGGGCGACCACUUGUGCUCUGGACCUUUGCCCCCCUUGGCUGAUAAAACCAGCAGGGAGGGAAGAGCUGACUGGGCCAAGGAGGUGAUCAAUGCCCCUUUACAAGAGGGGGUGUCCCUGCCUGUUUGAAAGAGGCAGUGGUAAAACCAUUCCUUAAGAAACCUAGCCUGGAUUUGGAAAACCUACCUAAACACCAGCCAGUUGCUAAUCUCCCUUUCCUGGGCAAGGUUCUGGAUUGAGUGGUCGCAGACCAGAUCCAGGCGCUUUUGGAAGAAACGGAUUUUCUGAAUCCAUUUCAAUCGGGGCUUAGGCCUGGUUUUGGCACAGAAGUUGCUUUGGUUGCCCUAUAUGAUGACCUCUGUCGAGAGAGAGAGACAAGGGAAACGUGUCCCUGUUAAUUGUUCUCGACCUCUCAGUGGCUUUCUAUACCAUUGAGCAUGGUAUCCUUCUGGAGUGACUCUAGGGGUGGGUGGUGCCGCUAUACAGUGGUUCCAGUCCUACUGAGAUGGUCGUUCCCAGAGGGUGCUACUUGGGGAGUGCUUUUCAGCCCUGUGGAACCUUCAAUGUGGGGUUCCACAGGGCUCAAUCUUUUGUAUGUGUGUGUGUGGUUACUUUAGAUUUUUGUUUUAAUUUUUUUUAUUAUUUAUAGUUAUACAUCAUACAAACAAGCAUUGAAUAAAACAAACAAAUAAUACAAAACCAGAAGAAAGUACAAAAGCAAAAUUACAAGGAUAUAAACAUAAUAACAUAAACUACAAUUGAAAAUAUAAAACAUCAUAUUCUCCUAAAAAUAAAAAGAACGAAAAAUAAUACAAAAAAGGAAGCUUCACUACAGGUGCUCUGUGUGACUUAAGCUUCACUGCACACAUCACAUUCCACAACCUUAGAACAUGGUUUCAAUGUGAUUCCCUUCACACAACCCUGGCAUUUUAGCAACAGUUCUAAAAUUGACACGAGCUAAUCUUCUGUGGUAUAUAAAUGAACACAUUGAUUAUGAGGAGCACAAUUAGCAAUUGUGGAUUUUGCAUGGCUUGGCUUGCUACCUCAUCCUUCUUAAGAGUGCGCUCCUGAGGUUCGGUCACAUGUAAGGAAUCUUGCAAAUGUCCUGUAGCAUAAAACUCUUCCCUUUUUCUAAUUUCACAUGCAUCACCAUCAAAACAUAUUUCAAAUCCUGAUGUUGCCAAGUUAAUCAGACUCAACAAAUUAGACUCCAGUUGUGGAACAUAAAAAACCUCAAGCACUUCAUUCCUUAAACACUUAAGCUUUACCUUUCCAAUGCCAGAUACAGGAAUGUUACCACCCCAGCUAAUGCCAUAGAUAUUUCACAUAGACAUUUCACAUAUAGUUCAAAAAGUCAAAUUGUGUCUUAUACACGUGACCCGAUGCUCCCAAGCCCAAGACCCAUCAACCUGAAGUAUUACUCAGUCUUGUGAUUAAGGCUUUCUUCGUCUCGGUGUCACAAUUUCCAACUUUUGUUCUCCAUCUUGCACCCCAGUCUAGUUUCUCUUGCUUGUCCUGUGUUUUCUUCUUCUGUAGCAAUGGACAGUCUUUCUUCAGGUGCUCUUUUGAGUCAGAAUUAACGCAUUUCCUCACUUUCAAGGCUGUAACUUCAACAGUAGUCGCUGUUGUAAACCUGCCACCACGGCAUCUCCUUGAAGAUUUCCUGCCUAUUAGCACUGACUAUCUCUGCUAUCAGCCCAUUCCCGGAGCUUUCCCCAUUCAGUCAGCAAUUUUCCUGUUACCCCAUUCAGCGGUCAGGUCCUCUUCAUCUUUGCCUUCUACUAAAGUUGAAAUGGCAUAAUUUUCAUCAAAGCUUGACAGGAUUAUGUAUAUUUGGGAUAUGGGUGUGAAGCUGAAUCCAUGCCCCAAAAGAUCUCCAAGUGUCUGCAAGUGGUCAGGCAAAGACACCCCCUGGCUUUAAAUGUUGCUGGUAUAAUUUGUGAGUCAGUAAAACUUUACUGCCCCGGGUCACACUAAGAUAAACAUUCUGCAAGGCUUUCUAUAUUGUUUUGGUUGUUGUUUGAAACCGGAUAAUUGAGAUCUGUGAAGCCUCAACUCCCAAAGUAAUACUUGCCUGUGCUUUCCCAUCAUACAUUUGCCAUUUUUCAAAGUCAUCAUCAUCAUCUUCAUCAUCUGCAGGAUCAUUUGGACGACAGUGAAUGCCACAAGGUUGAAGCAGAUGGAUAUUUGUGGAUGCAAACUGGUUGACAUUCACCUUUGGAAGCCCAUUGACAGAAGUUGGCAGGCCGAAGCCAAGGACAAAGUUGCCGGGCAGAAGCCAGUGGAGGUGUCUGGGAGGAUGCUGUCAGAUAGUAGCCAUCCCACUCAGUUGUUUGCCUUUCAGGGACAUACGAAGCCGGCGAGGUUUUCCCUGAGACCAUCCAUGGAAGUCAUGAAGAGAACCGCAGGGCUUAAGCCAGCCAGCUUCUGUUUCCUAAACAACUUAAUGCCUUUCUAAAUUA